AUUUGACUGGGACUCCCCCAUGGAGAGAAGUCCUCCCAGGUCCUCUGCAAGGGGCAUCUGUUCCUUGGCUAUGGACAUGCCCUAAAGUGCCAGGUGGACGGAAGAGCUCCUGGGACCAGCAGGUUGGGAGCAUCAAUUCACGUUGGCUAGAAAUGUGACUUCUUUAGUAUUUACCAUUUUAACAAAAUCCAUGAUAAGGGAUUUGGAAGGUCCCAUGGAAAGGAUGAAAUGACACCUCUCUGCUACCCAGUUUCUUUAAGACCUCUACGGUUGAGAAGAGAGGACAAAGGAACACCCCCACCUCUGCCAUCCUCCGAGGGAUUUUUCACAGCAAUUCCAGUGCUGCUCAGUGGAAAGCUCUGCAAGUCAACUGCAAACCCCCAGCCCCAGAUGUUAGGCAUUUACAUCCUCUGCAAUUUUGGGGACAGGAGCAAACACAAGCUUAAGUCACCACGCAGGCUGCAACCCUUACCCAAAGAUGGGGGAAAAACUCCAAAGGAGAUGCAGGAGGGAGCCUCAGCAGUCACUGUGAGAGCACAAAGAGGCCAAGACCCAGGGUAGGCAAAGGAAGGUGAGAGGCACCAGCAGGGCAGGAGGAGGAGCCAGCUAUAAACAUGCAGGCUUCCCGCCCCCUGCAUAGCAAGCUAUGGAAGGAAGCUCCAGCAAGAUUCAUGUCUAAGCUUUUCAAGUUAAAGGCUUGCCUACAUCUACAGUGAACGGUGUCUGAACAACUUUUUGAGGGAAUAAGGCAGAAUUUCUCCCUUAUGCGGAUAACAAAAGAGCUAGCCAUCCUGAAAACUUGCCACAUCGUAAUUUUCAGAGAUGGUCAGUCUCUCAGAAGAAUCCUUGCAAUUAGCUAUCAGAACCUGUCCAGUUCGGCAUGUGAGAAGGUAAUCCAGGGCAUCAUCGAGAGGAAGGGGCAUCAGGAUUCAUGGACAACAAAAAAAUCUCUGAUUCCUCCAAAAGGCGUGUGGGUCACUGAGCUCCGGAAGAGGCUGCCUCCACCAGGUCUCAUUUCACGUUGGGAGGUUACAGCGUGGGUCUUGUUUCCUUGGCUUUCCCCCAUCUAAUCCCAAAGCCAAGGUCACAACCUCUUAGCAAUGGGGUGACAAUCUCAUAUAGAGCUGCAAUCAACAGCCAUUCUUGCCAAGCUGAUAUUAACAUUUCUUUUUUCUUUUUGAUGUUACACACAAUCCUGUCCUUGCUGUACCAGAAAGCCAUUUCACCCAUCUGUCUGGGAAGAUGAUCCAAUUUUGGUGCUUUUAUCAUCAAUGCUUUCAGCAACUUUGUUCUACUUCCCCUACUGUAAUUACUUUUGAAUCAUCAACGCACCCAGACAGCCUUAAACCUCAGAGAACAGAAUGCUAAAAAAAGAAAAAAAAAACCCGCAAUGGCAAGUAACUUCACUAAAUAGCCACCCAAGCUAGGAGCAAUUUGUUUCUUUCCAGAAAUUUACUUAUUAAUAAUAAGUACCUCACACUCCUUCUUCCCCUUUUUCCAAAGGCAGGCAAGGCAUGGAGAUGGGAUGUUGUGGAGAGGACGGAGUGGGGAGAAGAAGGAACUCCAAAAGGAGCCAAUUAAAACAUCUGCUUCCCCAGUC
This 1600-nucleotide long non-coding RNA is filed under the name Homo sapiens (human). RNAcentral's name for it is "non-protein coding lnc-TSFM-1:2". The record is from RNAcentral. Lineage: Eukaryota; Metazoa; Chordata; Mammalia; Primates; Hominidae.